CCUACGGGUGGCAGCAGUAGGGAAUAUUGCUCAAUGGGGGAAACCCUGAAGCAGCAACGCCGCGUGGAGGAUGAAGGUUUUCGGAUUGUAAACUCCUUUUGUUAGAGAAGAAAAUGACGGUAUCUAACGAAUAAGCACCGGCUAACUCCGUUCCAGCAGCCGCGGUAAUACGCAGGGUGCAAGCGUUACUCGGAAUCACUGGGCGUAAAGAGCGCGUAGGCGGGAUAGCAAGUCUGAUGUGAAAUCCUUUGGCUUAACCAUAGAACUGCAUUUGAAACUGUUAUUCUAGAGUAUGGGAGAGGUAGGUGGAAUUCUUGGUGUAGGGGUAAAAUCCGUAGAGAUCAAGAAGAAGACUCAUUGCGAAGGCGACAUGCUAGAGCAUAACUGACGCUGAUGCGCGAAAGCGUGGGGAGCAAACAGGAUUAGAUACCCUUGUAGUC
This 440-nucleotide ribosomal RNA is filed under the name uncultured bacterium. Its description in RNAcentral is "partial 16S ribosomal RNA". It matches the Rfam family "Bacterial small subunit ribosomal RNA", at positions 338 to 795 of the family's 1533-position model. The record is from RNAcentral.